GAUGAAGAACGCAGCGAAAUGCGAUAAGUAAUGUGAAUUGCAGAAUUCAGUUAAUCAUCGAAUCUUUGAACGCACAUUGCGCCCGCCAGCACUCUGGCGGGCAUGCCUGUUCGAGCGUCAUUUCAACCAUCAAGCCCCCAGGGGCUUGUGCUGGGGCCCUGCGGCUGCCCGCAGGCCCUGAAAACCAGUGGCGGGCUCGCUAGUCACACCGAGCGCAGUAGCACAUCUCGCUCAGGGCGUGCGGCGGGCUCCUGCCGUGAAACCCCCCACUGUAACCCCAAAGGUUGACCUCGGAUCAGGUAGGAAUACCCGCUGAACUUAAGCAUAUCAAUAAGCGGAGGA
RNAcentral lists this unclassified non-coding RNA (342 nucleotides) under soil metagenome. Its description in RNAcentral is "partial contains 5.8S ribosomal RNA, internal transcribed spacer 2, and large subunit ribosomal RNA". The stretch from base 1 to 120 matches the Rfam family "5.8S ribosomal RNA", at positions 35 to 154 of the family's 154-position model. The record is from RNAcentral.